AUGCACGUGGCUGGCAAAGAGAAGGGAGCAUGAAGCUGUCAUUUUGAACAUGCCUAGUCGCAGAGAUGCAUGCGGGGAGAACUCUAUGUGAAGGUGAAGGCAGAGAUGCUUCAUUAAGCCAAGGAAUGCCAAAGGUGGCCAGCAAACCACCAGAAACCAGGCAAGAUGCAUGGAACAGAUUCUGUCUCGUAGCUCUCAGAAGGAACCAACCCUGCCAUCGCACAUUGAUUUUGGACUUCUGGCUUCCAGAACUGUGUGAAAUGGAAGAAAAUAAUUCUAAAAUUUGUAUGGAACCACAAAGACUGCUAAUAGCCAAAGCUAGUUUGAACAAGAAGAACAAAGCUGGAGGCCUCACACUUUCUGAUUUCAAAAUAUAUUGCGAAGCUACAGUACUAGCAUAAAAACAGAUGAUAAACCAAUGGGUAGAAUAGACAGCCCAG
This 440-nucleotide long non-coding RNA is filed under the name Pan troglodytes (chimpanzee). RNAcentral describes it as "lincRNA". The record is from RNAcentral. Lineage: Eukaryota; Metazoa; Chordata; Mammalia; Primates; Hominidae.